GAUCCACGUUGACUGGGCGUCCGC
This 24-nucleotide microRNA is filed under the name Polistes canadensis. Its description in RNAcentral is "pca-miR-3759-3p". The record is from miRBase by way of RNAcentral. Lineage: Eukaryota; Metazoa; Arthropoda; Insecta; Hymenoptera; Vespidae.